Molecule: ribosomal RNA, 345 nt
Filed under: Triticum aestivum (bread wheat)
Lineage: Eukaryota; Viridiplantae; Streptophyta; Magnoliopsida; Poales; Poaceae
Description: partial small subunit ribosomal RNA
Source: RNAcentral
AUGAAGCGUAAUUGGACAGGACCUACUAGGUGUAGUUUCUGCGAUCGGGAUGAGACUAUUAAACACCUCUUUUUUGAUUGCCCGCUGGCCAAGGUACUCUGGCAGACGGUCCACAUUGCUUUCAAUAUCAAACCACCGAAUUCUGUUAAUGCUUUAUUUGGGACAUGGCUUAAUGGGAUUGAGCCUAACUUAGCGAGACAUAUUCGGGUUGGGGUUUGUGCUUUGCUGUGGACUAUCUGGAAUUGCAGAAACGAUCUAGUCUUUAACAGAAUAUCAUGUAUACAUUUUUUGCAGGUUUUAUUCCGGACUACGGCUCUGAUCCGUUCGUGGUCGCUACUCACCUAG